UGAAGCCAUUUUAAAUUGGACCGCCAGAGAUCUGAGGUUACUUAAGAUCCCAGAUUUGAGCAGGACAGGAGAUCUGGAUCUGAAGACACUCAGAAACCUUGGUGUCAUUGUCAUCUGAGCCUCCAUUUGUGGUCACUAGGUCACCAACUGUAAAAUGCAUGUAGAGGGAAAUCGAAUAGAUGGGAGGCAGAAUCUCACAUCCCAGCACUGAAGUCUUAGACUACAGACUUGAGCUUUGUCAGUUGAAUUCUCCUGCCUGGGACUGAAUCUGGAGAUUCUAUUAGUUGUUUCUUAUACUGGCUCUGAUGAAGCAAGCUGCCAUAGGGAGAAGUCCAUGUGGCAAGGAACUGAGGGUGGCCUGCAGCUAACAACUAUCAAGAAAUUGAUGUCCUCAGUCCAAUAACCUGUAAAGAAUUGUACCCUACUGACAACCGUGUGAACUUGGAAGAGCAUCCUUCCCCAGUCUAGCCUAUAUGAGACCCUAGGCCUGGUUGAGACCUUGAGCUUCAGCCUAGUAAAACACCCUGAAGCAGAGAACCAGUUAAAUCAUAUCCAGAUUUCUGACCCAGAGAAACUGUGAGAUAAUAAAUAUGUGGUGUUUUAAGCUGCUAAUUUUGUGGUUAUUUUUCACAUGGCAACAGAUAACUAACACAUUCACCCAAGGUCAUACAAGUGGUAAGUUAAUGAGUAAGGAUAUGAAACUUGGCAGUCUGGCUUUGAUUUAGG
This 726-nucleotide long non-coding RNA is filed under the name Equus asinus (donkey). RNAcentral's name for it is "lncRNA (ENSEASG00005033179.1)". Lineage: Eukaryota; Metazoa; Chordata; Mammalia; Perissodactyla; Equidae. The record is from RNAcentral.